UCCUUGAAGAUGUGAAUACAUUCCCCCUUACCAAGAAGCUGCCCGUGACCUGCUGCCUGCCAUUGUACUGUCUCCUCUGCGCUGGACCAUGUCCCCUCAAAUCGUGAAUCAAACACCGAUGUAACCGGCUCACACACCGUCAUGAGGACCGACCAAGGGGAUUCUUGGGAAUGCCUGGAACAUGGCUGGCUCGAAGAACCUGCCUGAUGCCCGCCUGUCUGGUGACAUUUGACUGUGGUGACAAGAGGGUGACAGUGGCUGGCCGGGCACAACCACCUGGUGGUCAAUUUGUUCUUUCUUCUUAAUUUCUCGGCACACUCCAAAGUCAGGCGUCCGCAGGGGCCACGGGAUGGAACUUUCUGGGUUUUUUGGUUUUUUUUGUUUUUUUUUUUGAAUGGCCAUGGCCAUUUCUGAGAAGCUGGAUCACCCAAUGGGGUCCUCUGAGUACACCCUCCUGUCCAUCACAUGCCUGGACCUGGGAGUGAGGAGCUACCAAGUACAGCUCGAGGUAGGGGGAGCUGUAUCACAGCCACUCUCUACAGGACUUCCUUGACAGUGACCCUGAGUUGUCUCCUGGCAUGACCAGCUGCCAGCAUCACUGCCGAAGCCACCUCUGGUACUCAGUAGAUCCAAAAA
Peromyscus californicus insignis is the source of this 636-nucleotide long non-coding RNA. RefSeq lists it as uncharacterized. The transcript is spliced from 2 exons. The record is from RefSeq and is a predicted model, not a curated record. NCBI's taxonomy places the organism in Eukaryota, Metazoa, Chordata, Mammalia, Rodentia, Cricetidae.